This 491-nucleotide ribosomal RNA is filed under the name uncultured bacterium. RNAcentral's name for it is "partial 16S ribosomal RNA". It matches the Rfam family "Bacterial small subunit ribosomal RNA", at positions 29 to 506 of the family's 1533-position model. The record is from RNAcentral.
AGUGAACGCUGGCGGUAGGCCUAACACAUGCAAGUCGAACGGCAGCACAGUAAGCGCUUGCUCUUACGGGUGGCGAGUGGCGGACGGGUGAGGAAUACAUCGGAAUCUACUUUUUCGUGGGGGAUAACGUAGGGAAACUUACGCUAAUACCGCAUACGACCUACGGGUGAAAGCAGGGGAUCUUCGGACCUUGCGCGAUUGAAUGAGCCGAUGUCGGAUUAGCUAGUUGGCGGGGUAAAGGCCCACCAAGGCGACGAUCCGUAGCUGGUCUGAGAGGAUGAUCAGCCACACUGGAACUGAGACACGGUCCAGACUCCUACGGGAGGCAGCAGUGGGGAAUAUUGGACAAGGGGCGCAAGCCUGAUCCAGCCAUACCGCGUGGGUGAAGAAGGCCUUCGGGUUGUAAAGCCCUUUUGUUGGGAAAGAAAAGCAGCAGGUUAAUACCCCGCUGUUCGGACGGUACCCAAAGAAUAAGCACCGGCUAACUUCGU